ACACAACUCUGGAGAGUUCCAUUCAAUUGGACGCCGAAGGUGUAAAGGUCUUACUUAAGACCCCGAUCUCUCAGGCAAAAGGACAGGGCG
Molecule: non-coding RNA, 90 nt
Filed under: uncultured Dialister sp.
Lineage: Bacteria; Bacillati; Bacillota; Negativicutes; Veillonellales; Veillonellaceae
Description: Glycine riboswitch
Rfam family: Glycine riboswitch aptamer
About the family: This family represents the bacterial glycine riboswitch. Glycine riboswitches usually consist of two metabolite-binding aptamers domains with similar structures in tandem.
Source: RNAcentral